Molecule: long non-coding RNA, 328 nt
Organism: Pygocentrus nattereri (red-bellied piranha)
Lineage: Eukaryota; Metazoa; Chordata; Actinopteri; Characiformes; Serrasalmidae
Exons: 2
Source: RefSeq, a predicted model, not a curated record
GCGCUGAUUGGCUGAGAGAGUGCGGGAGGUAGCAGUAAGCUACCCGUUGGCUCGUUGAAGUGGUUACAGAGGACCAGAACUUGGAGACUUCUGAUUGGCUGCAGCAGGGGACACUCCAGCUGUAAAAGGGCCUGGGCAAGAUGGUUGUUACGUCUGUGCCACCUGCUCUCCCAUCGGCCAGAUCAAACCCUGCAACUUAGUUCAGCUUAGUCUGUCUUACUGUAUUGUAUCUUCAGUAGAUGGCUAACGUAAACAACUUUCUCUCUUUUCUGCUGUAUCUUCCUAUGCGGCCUUUAAAAAAUGGCAAUUAAAGCCUUGUUAAUGGAAA